GCACCCAUAGCUCAAUUGGAUAGAGCGUCAGACUACGGAUCUGAAGGUUAGGAGUUCGACUCUCUUUGGGUGCGCCA
RNAcentral lists this transfer RNA (77 nucleotides) under Alphaproteobacteria bacterium. RNAcentral describes it as "tRNA-Arg". It matches the Rfam family "tRNA". Rfam says of the family: Transfer RNA (tRNA) molecules are approximately 80 nucleotides in length. Their secondary structure includes four short double-helical elements and three loops (D, anti-codon, and T loops). The record is from RNAcentral. RNAcentral also lists the same sequence under 1 other name. Lineage: Bacteria; Pseudomonadati; Pseudomonadota; Alphaproteobacteria.